UACAGGGGGUGCAAGCGUUAUUCGGAAUUACUGGGCGUAAAGAGCGUGUAGGCGGUUUGUUAAGUCUGGUGUGAAAGCCCUGGGCUCAAUCCAGGAAGUGCAUUGGAUACUGGCAGACUAGAGUAUGGGAGAGGAUGGCGGAAUUCCUGGUGUAGAGGUAAAAUUCGUAGAUAUCAGGAGGAACAACAGUGGCGAAGGCGGCCAUCUGGACCAUUACUGACGCUAAGGCGCGAAAGCGUGGGGAGCAAACAGG
Molecule: ribosomal RNA, 253 nt
Filed under: uncultured bacterium
Lineage: Bacteria
Description: partial 16S ribosomal RNA
Rfam family: Bacterial small subunit ribosomal RNA
Source: RNAcentral